AUUGAACGCUGGCGGCAUGCUUUACACAUGCAAGUCGAACGGCAGCGCGGGCUUCGGCCUGGCGGCGAGUGGCGAACGGGUGAGUAAUGCAUCGGAACGUGCCCAGUAGUGGGGGAUAGCCCGGCGAAAGCCGGAUUAAUACCGCAUACGACCUGAGGGUGAAAGCGGGGGACCGAAAGGCCUCGCGCUAUUGGAGCGGCCGAUGUCGGAUUAGCUAGUUGGUGGGGUAAAGGCUUACCAAGGCGACGAUCCGUAGCUGGUCUGAGAGGACGACCAGCCACACUGGGACUGAGACACGGCCCAGACUCCUACGGGAGGCAGCAGUGGGGAAUUUUGGGCAAUGGGGGCAACCCUGAUCCAGCCAUGCCGCGUGCGAGAAGAAGGCCUUCGGGUUGUAAACCGCUUUUGUUCGGGAAGAAAUCCUCUGGGCUAAUACCCCGGGGGGAUGACGGUACCGGAAGAAUAAGCACCGGCUAACUACGUG
This 484-nucleotide ribosomal RNA is filed under the name uncultured bacterium. RNAcentral's name for it is "partial 16S ribosomal RNA". It matches the Rfam family "Bacterial small subunit ribosomal RNA", at positions 28 to 507 of the family's 1533-position model. The record is from RNAcentral.